AAGUCUGGUGCCAGCAGCCGCGGUAAUUCCAGCUCCAAUAGCGUAUAUUAAAAUUGUUGCGUCUAAAAAGCUCGUAGUUUGAAAACUUGCCUUGGCUCGUAUCAGGUCCUUUAAUGGGCCGCCGCUUGUCGGGGCAAAUAUCGAUGACUGUUUUUGCCGACUUCACUGUUUGGCUUAUAAGAGUUAUCAAAUAUCACUUUGAUUAAAUUAGAGUGCUUAAAGCAAGUGUGUUACUUGGAUAUAAAUGCAUGGAAUGAUGGAAUAUGUUGUUGUUCUAUUUGUUGGUUUUUUGAACGAUAAAAUGAUUGAAAGGAACUGUUGGGGGCAUUCGUAUUGUUGUGAGAGAGGUGAAAUUCUUAGACCACAGCAAGACGAACUACUGCUAAAGCAUUUGCCAAGAAUGUUUUCAUUGAUCAAGAACGAAAGUUAGAGGUUCGAAGGCGAUCAGAUAUCGCCCUAGUUCUAACCAUAA
This 472-nucleotide ribosomal RNA is filed under the name Cheiroseius sp. NFS-2015. Its description in RNAcentral is "bacterial SSU rRNA". It matches the Rfam family "Eukaryotic small subunit ribosomal RNA", at positions 557 to 1035 of the family's 1831-position model. The record is from RNAcentral. Lineage: Eukaryota; Metazoa; Arthropoda; Arachnida; Mesostigmata; Ascidae.